This 274-nucleotide long non-coding RNA is filed under the name Brachypodium distachyon (stiff brome). RNAcentral describes it as "long non-coding RNA (BDIS_LNC002194)". The record is from RNAcentral. Lineage: Eukaryota; Viridiplantae; Streptophyta; Magnoliopsida; Poales; Poaceae.
UGCUGCAAAAAAAUUUAGAAAUACACAAAAAAAGGCACAACACAGAUUACCCUCCUGCCUCCCAGCCCCAGGCACAGAAGGGUCGAUACCAAACUUGGUUGUGAGCACUCUCUUACUCCCAAGACACAGCUACUGUGUGGCGCACGUUGCGGGGAACCCGGCAACGGCACGACCCCGUGCCGGAGUGAUCCGGCAACGGGAUUUUUGCUUUCGAGGCUCCGGCAGCCCCCUGCUCACAGCCAAGGAUGGAAAGAGACUUCUGUGCACCUAGAGC